GCUGGUGUAGCUCAAUUGGUAGAGCAGCUGAUUUGUAAUCAGCCGGUUGCGGGUUCGAGUCCCAUCACCAGCUC
RNAcentral lists this transfer RNA (74 nucleotides) under Brachyspira hyodysenteriae. RNAcentral describes it as "tRNA-Thr". It matches the Rfam family "tRNA". Rfam says of the family: Transfer RNA (tRNA) molecules are approximately 80 nucleotides in length. Their secondary structure includes four short double-helical elements and three loops (D, anti-codon, and T loops). RNAcentral also lists the same sequence under 1 other name. The record is from RNAcentral. Lineage: Bacteria; Pseudomonadati; Spirochaetota; Spirochaetia; Brachyspirales; Brachyspiraceae.